GAUGAACGCUGGCGGCGUGCUUAACACAUGCAAGUCGAACGAAAAGGCGCUGACGUUGCUACUCGGACGGUGACGGCGGGAGUGAGAGGAACGUAAGGAGCACCUACCUAUGAGACUGGGAUAACUACGGGAAACCGGUGCUAAUACCGGAUAAUAUCUUGAUGCGCGGGGUUGGAUAGUGAAGGACGGUUUUGCUGGCACCUCUAGAUGGAUCCGCGCUGGAUUGGCUAGUUGGUAGGGUAACGGCUUACGAAGGCGACGAUGCGUGGCCGACCGGCGAGGGGGAUCGGCCCCACUGGGACUGAGACACGGUCCAGGCUCCUAGGGGAGGCCGCAGUAGGGAAUGUUGGGCAAUGGGCGGAAGCCUGACGGAGCGGCGCCGCGUGGGUGAUGAAGGUCCUCGGGUCGUAAAACUCUGUUAUUAGGGAAGAACAAAUGUGGAAGGAACUAAGCACGUCUUGACGGUACCUAAUGAGAAAGCACCGGCUAACUACGUG
Molecule: ribosomal RNA, 497 nt
Filed under: uncultured bacterium
Lineage: Bacteria
Description: partial 16S ribosomal RNA
Rfam family: Bacterial small subunit ribosomal RNA
Source: RNAcentral